This 253-nucleotide ribosomal RNA is filed under the name uncultured bacterium. Its description in RNAcentral is "partial 16S ribosomal RNA". It matches the Rfam family "Bacterial small subunit ribosomal RNA", at positions 524 to 776 of the family's 1533-position model. The record is from RNAcentral.
UACGUAGGGUGCGAGCGUUAAUCGGAAUUACUGGGCGUAAAGCGUGCGCAGGCGGUUUUGUAAGCCAGAUGUGAAAUCCCCGGGCUUAACCUGGGAAUGGCAUUUGGGACUGCAAAGCUUGAGUGUGGCAGAGGGGACUGGAAUUCCUGGUGUAGCAGUGAAAUGCGUAGAGAUCAGGAGGAAUACCGAUGGCGAAGGCAGGUCUCUGGGCCGAUACUGACGCUGAGGAGCGAAAGCGUGGGGAGCGAACAGG